GCUUGCCAAGGUGGACAGUGGCCUGAGCCAGCCUCUUGGUCAUUCUCUUGAAGGUUGACCGCUGUUGUUUAAGUGGGUAGAUGUAUAAAGUUUCUGAAGUCUGCAGUUCAUCUUGUUUUCAGCCUUCCUUCAGGAGCAGAUAGCCCAUGUUCAGGAAGAAGCGGUUUACAAGGAAUCAAGUGAGGUACUAAUACUCCUAACCUCCUUUGUACGCAGAGAUGAUCAUGAGACCCAAUGAGUUAUAAGGAAAAGAUUCUCUCUUUCUGAUAAAAGGAGAUAAGUAUUCAAUAAGAACUGUGUCUUACUGGCUCGGCCACCCCCUCAAUUGUUUACUUUGGAAACACACUGUGAGAGUGUGAUGUCUAGAGCUGUAGCAGUCACCUUGGGACCAUAAGGUGAGAGUCCACGGAUCAUACCCUGAAGUGUCCUCAGGAUUUGAAACCACUGUCAUGUCAGUCCCAUGGUUACACUUCACCUUCCCAAGUAUGUCUUUAAUUACUCUCUCAGCAGCCAACAAUUUCUUGCAGAGAAUCAUAUAAGAAUCAAUAAAUGUUUACUGAAUGCCCUAGGCUCUGAGCUGGGACAAAGGCAUGGAAGAAGCAGGCCUGUUCUGGAGGACUUUGCAGAUUUCCUUCAGUUUCACAUGCCAGAAACCCAGCUUCACAGUGGCGAGGAUGGGAAAAUGAGGCAGGAAAUAAACCUGAGGACCUAGCAUGGUGCUUAAGAAAUGUCGGUGUGCUACUCUUAUUGAGGACUUCAGUUCAGGAAACUCUUUUACACGUUUGUCAUCUCCAUUUUCACCUUCGCAAAGACCUUGAAGAGAAGUAUAAAAUUCUUACUCUCAAUGUGAAGAUGAGGAAACAGAGCCAGAUUUCGUGUGUCUUCCUCAGCGGCACUGAAAGCCCAUGGCAACGAGAUGCCUUGGUCCCACAUUUCCUGAUUUCCACUUUGGUGUCUUUUUUCCCCCCCUUAUAGAUCACACAAUGUCAAGAUUAGUAAAAAUCUUUAGAAAUUAUCUAGUUUAGGGAUGGCAAGCAGGUUUUACUUUCUUAUGUGCUGGCGUUGGCCUCCUGGUAACCACGGCCCGAGCCCUGGAUUGUGUUCUACCUACGGGGGAAGGGUGCUGUGAUCCAUUAGUAAUGUCUGCAUGGGCUUUGGUGAGUUAGCGUGUGGGGCACUUGCUAUUCUUCAUCUAAUCCAACCUCUCAUUUAAACAACAAACAAACAAACCUCAGAGAUGGGAACUGACAUACUCAAGGUUACCCAAUGAGCUAGGGGCAGAACUGGGUCUAGUGAUUUUUCUCAUUGACAGUCCAGUUGCCAAGCCUUGACAAUAAGAUUUAACUAUUUUCUUCCCACAGUAGGAUUUCCAUUGUUUAGGUAGCCUAGACUAUUAGAGGCCAUAGGCUCUAACCCCAGCUGUGAUGCUGUGUAGAAUUCAACAAGUUGACUCAUCUCUUUGUGCUUACAGAUAAUUCUGCUUCCUCUCAACAUCUUCCCCUAUCUUGAAGAAACUGCAAAGUUUGUGCAUUACCAAAGCUUGUGCAUUAGACAUUGCCUAAGAAAUGUCAGUCAAGAAGGUUAAAAUGAAAGAAACACGGCUUAGAAUACGUAGAGAACUUGACAGACAACUGGAGUUGAGAGAGGCCUGGGGAAGAACAGGGAGUCCAUGGAAAUCCUGCUUGUCAGUGAUGGUGAACUGGCGUGGCUUGGAUAUUUGAAUCGGCACACCGAGGUUUCCAGCAGAAGCAUUAUAGACCAUAAAUGCAGAACUAGGUUACAAAAAAUAAGUUUUUGUGGUUAAUAUUAGUAUUGCCCUACAAGUUAAUUUUUUUUUUUUAACACUCUGUGGCAAUUCAGAAUUACGUAGUCCAUCCAUAUAUAUCAUCAUGCUGGCUUUCCACGGCAAGUGGAAGGGGUCAGUCUCCCUAUUUUAGAGAAGAAGGAUGGAGUCCAGAGAGGCUGAGUGACUGGGGAAGGUCAGGUGGCAAAUCAUCGGAGAGGCUCGGAUUUGAACUUGGCUUUUUAGGUGCUGAACCUAGCAGUAUUUCUUGUGUCAUGGUGGUGACAUUUUCAGGCUGACUAGUUCCCUGGAGUCCUCAUGGAGGAGUGGAGGUCAAGGCCAGGGGAGAGGCUUGUGUGUUUAGAACAGCUGCAGAUGUUGAACUUGGGGUGGGCUUAUAUCGAUGGAGGCCUGGGCAGGCAGGGUUCUGGAAGCAAAGGACAUGGCACAACCAGGAGAUUGGUUUGCUAUCAGCUAUUUACUGAGUUUUGUUUGUUUGUUUUCGGGGUGGUGGUCAGGCAAUAUGUUGAGGGCUUUAUGUACAUAACCUCAUUGAAUUUGUGGCAAACACUAUUUAUCUGGGUGGUGAAGCCUGAGUCAGGGAGGCUGAACACCUUGGCCAAAGACACAUGGCUCAGGGAGGGAUGGAGCCCGGGUGAGAAGGCUCUGAAUGAGGCCUGUGCAUCUGACCAUCCCAUGAGGCCAGGAUUGUGAGCCUGCGAGCGAGGCCUAGAGUGGGGAAAUGCACGUGUAGAAGAAAUUGGCUGGGACCAGUUGGGGAGGUCCUGAGAAGCUGGCUGAAAGAGCUCUGGACAUCGUCUUCGGGGCCACAGGAAAGGAAGAGCAGAAGUCUGCCCCUCCUUUCCGAGUAAAAUGGGCCUGCACACGGGAACGGCCUCUGUGCCUGCUUCCACGGGCUCUCAUGCUGCCUGACCCCAUCCGAAGAGGAUAUCACCGUUCCUGCUACCCUCUUCCAAUUUCUUUUAAAAAUAAAAUAAAAAUUAUUUA
This is a long non-coding RNA of Mustela lutreola (European mink), 2791 nucleotides long. RefSeq lists it as uncharacterized. The record is from RefSeq and is a predicted model, not a curated record. NCBI's taxonomy places the organism in Eukaryota, Metazoa, Chordata, Mammalia, Carnivora, Mustelidae. The transcript is spliced from 3 exons.